UCUUUUCCUUUUUUGCCCGCCGCCGCGGUAAUACGGAAGGUCCGGGCGUUAUCCGGAUUUAUUGGGUUUAAAGGGAGCGUAGGCCGUCUUAUAAGCGUGUUGUGAAAUGUCGGGGCUCAACCUGGGCAUUGCAGCGCGAACUGUGAGACUUGAGUGCGCAGGAAGUAGGCGGAAUUCGUCGUGUAGCGGUGAAAUGCUUAGAUAUGACGAAGAACUCCGAUUGCGAAGGCAGCCUGCUGUAGCGCAACUGACGCUGAAGCUCGAAAGCGUGGGUAUCGAACAGG
This 284-nucleotide ribosomal RNA is filed under the name Leyella stercorea DSM 18206. Its description in RNAcentral is "Prevotella stercorea DSM 18206 partial 16S ribosomal RNA". It matches the Rfam family "Bacterial small subunit ribosomal RNA", at positions 493 to 776 of the family's 1533-position model. The record is from RNAcentral. Lineage: Bacteria; Pseudomonadati; Bacteroidota; Bacteroidia; Bacteroidales; Prevotellaceae.